CGGGCUCCUGGGAAAGGCACCCCUCCGCCCCAGGCCGCCUCGUGCUUAUGGCGCCGCCCCAGUCUUCCAAAUAGCUAACCUCGAACUAGGUGGGUCACUACCGCGCGAAGGCAAAUGACCUUCAAGGUCAGAAGUAAGCAAACCGUGGUCUCAACUCUCAGCUGGAAGUUGCCGGGAGAUCACUGUCGCUAGUGCCUGACAAGUAUGUUUUCUCCUAAACCCAAACAGUGCUUUCGGGUUGGGGUUUUAUCAAGUCCCCUUUACUGCCUAGGAGGCCUCGACUCCCCGCCGGGACCGGGCCCUUCCCCACCCCCCACCAACCAGGGGCGAGAGAGGCGAGGCUGUAGGGGUCACCUCGGAGCAGGGCCAUGGCGGCGGGCGGCAGCGCAGGGGUCCUCCUCGGCGACGCUGACGUACCGCCCCGUGCACCCGGACUUUAAGCGCGCGGGGCGGCGCCAGCGUGGCCCCGGCCGCGCCUUUUUACCUACUUCGCGCCGCUCGGCCAGGGCUCUCUCUCUCUCUCUCUUUUGGCAGGACGCGGCCCUCUGCGCCACCCCGUGGGAACCAAGGGUACCAAAACCUCCCGGGGAGACCGGCCUUGGACAAGAGAACGUUCCUCGCAAGCGGAUUUUUUUCCUCAUAUCGCUGUUUUUAAAGACUUUGUCUCUCUUGUCUUGUCAAGAGAAUGAUUUGACUCUACCCUGUCCAUCCUAUCUACGCCCCGCUACCCCCAACAGAUCUUAGUACACUUCACCCAGAAAUACUAUGACUCAUGUGAGGAGUUGAUUGCAUCCAUGGACACAGAGCCCAAGGAUACAGAGGGCCUUGACUUUGAAUAAAUGAGACAGGUGCUGGGCAGGGAGAAGGUGCAUGAUUUAAUCUGGAAAAUCUGAUUUCCUCAUGCUGGUCUCAUUUUGCACUACCACCCUGUGGCGGGCCCAUUUCUAAAUAGGCACAUUCAUGACGGAGGGCAAGGUCACCUGUGUGUGGACAAGAUUUAUCUUUUUACAGACUGGUAAUAUCUCUGCAACCGAGUCCUAGUACAAAUACAAUUUUGAGGGGAAAAGGAAAGGAACAUUUAAAUGCCUCUAGCUAGAUUCUCACUGACUUUAUUUAAAAUAAUGUAAACGGAUGCUAAGUGAAAACAGGACCAUAAUGGAAUCAUAGCUGUAAAGAAAACAAUUUAAUGCCAAAUGCUGGAUGCUUAAGUUCCUAGGUGAGAGACAUUCCGGAAUUCACUGUAAGCGUUUAAAAGAGUGUGCGCCUAAGCUUGACGUUUUGUGGGUUGACUACCUUAUCUUUCUACGUAAGCAAGAGACACCACAGAGUUACUGGGAAACCGUGGCAUCUUGUUUCAUAGACCGAAGUAGCCUUUGGUUCAUCCAGGAACAUCCCAUCCUCUGGACCUUCAGGACUGUAUCAUUGGGAGCAGAAAGGGCCAGGAGUGCCACACUAAGAAACAACCACCGGCAGGAACAGACUUGAAAUGGAAGCUGGGCUUGCUCUGAGGCCCUCGGCUGACAGUGACCACACCUGCUGGGUGCUGAGGGCGGUGCACAGGGAACAGAUGGCCUCUGCAUCUUCGGGGCUUUUCUUCUUUAACUGCAGGAGCUGGGCUGCUUGGAUCAGAGGUUCCAUGGUCUCAACAACUUCCCUCUGGUGCAGGUUUCUUCCCCGAAGCCACUCCUCCAGCUGACUUAUAUUGUACCUUAGACACAGGAAAAGUGAGCUCUGUUAAACCUGGCCUCCUACUUCACUGGGAAGAGGUCACCUCUUGUGUUUAUUUUGCAGGCCAGCUGCCAUUAGUGCUAUCAUUCUCCUCAUCUUAAUUGUCCCACAUGGGCAAAAGCGUGAGAAGUACCUGGCGCUCAAUAACUUCUUGUGAAAGAGUGGGUGCUUAAAAUCAAGCCAAGAUGAAGUACCUAAAGUGUCUGUACUAAGUUAAUGAGAAAAAAAGGCAUUAACUAUAUUGAAUUAAAACUUAACAUUUAACAUUCGCAAACAUGUUUGUACUUUCAUGCCUCUUAAGUCAUUAAUUUUUCUCUCUGACCUAUCCACCUCAUGUUUACAAUCUUUAUAUUAAAGUAUGUAAAUGUGUUUAAGCUCUGAACUAAUUUGUUUACCGGGUCACCAUCUCAGUGUGUGAUGAAUUUCACCAACCAAUAAAAAGGUGAUGGAUCUGAGUCACAUACUGACUGUGACAAGGACAAUCAGUUGCAUUUGGAUUUCAGUCUCACAGACAAGUGUCCCGUGCCCGACUGGGGCUGGUGUGUGCCAGGCCAAGGCGCCUCUCGUACCUGAGCUGCAUGCCUGUGCUCCAGGAGCAGACGUCCUUCCUCAGAAGCAGGUUGUUGAGAGUCACCGCGUUGAUCAUGUAGAAGAGCUGUUUGAACACCUGCAGGAUGAUCUCGGGGUCCAGGCCCUGGUCGCACAUGACUGUGUGGAAGGAAUUCAUCUGGCGGAUGAUGGCUUCCAGGCAGUAGGAUUUAUCUCCAUCCGCCAGGCUGGAGGUGCGCUUCCGGUAGCCCGUGGGCUUCACCCCAGACAGACCCUGAAUGCUCUCGUUCUCCAACAUGGCAGACACUGAAAGAGAAGCAUGAUUAGAGAAGCUGCGUGUUCCCAAGGAAGAUCUGUUUUCGGGUCACUGAGAUCACACAGUACUCAGGGCUUUGGCAGUGAUCCCACCCAGAGGUGAACAAGGUCGACAUGCAUUUGGCAUGGAAUUUCUAACCUGUUGAUUUCUACACAGAAUAGGACUUCCACAUAGAAAUCUUGGACUAAACCUGUGGACCACAUUUUCGCGUAAAUUUAUUGGUGAUGGGACAGAGGUAAAAGGCACGUACCGACUUAAUUCUGUUGUGGCUUCUGUGCUGAGAGACCAAAAUGGAGCAACUUGGGUAUAGUCAUGGCCCAGCCACUGACCUGGGCCUGGACCCUGAGAUCAGCCUAUAGGUGUUCAAAUGGCUUUUCUCCAUCAGCCACCGACCAUGUAAAUCUUAGGUGAGCUGGUCUGUCACACUUACUGCCCAGCACUUAACUACAGGUCAGGCACUUUAUAUUCAGUAUUCCUUUUAAUCUUCCAACAACCCAUUUCCUAAUGAGGAAACUGAGGCAUAAAAAGGUUAAAUAACUUGCCCAAGGUCACCCUGCUAGGAAGUGGCAGGGCCAGGAUUUGAACCCAGGUAUGUCUGAUUCCAGAACUGAUGCUGUUAACCAUCAUCUUAACCUGAGCCAUGAAACAUCCCCAGUUCUCCCUGUCUGGUGAGAAUAAACUGGCACCUCAUAAGAGUCUCAGACAGGAAGAAGGAUUUGGAAUGAAUCUUAUCCCAAGGGAUAUAUUUCUGGAUGGCAUGUAGGACUCUGUCCUACUUGGAAUUCACUUGUAACCUACUCGUGUUGUAAGAACCUGGGGAAAGAAUUACUUACAUGGUCCAGGAGACUAUUUCCUCAACAGCCUUUAAGGAGCACAGUGAGUGAUGCAUAUACGUGUCACACUUUUCUCAUGACUUAAAAAAUAACUGCUCUGAUUUUCAAAUCUGAUUUCAUGUUAAGUGCCCAAGUGUACUGCUUUGGACAGAAUGUUUAAUAAAUAUUUAUUGCAUGA
This is a non-coding RNA of Delphinapterus leucas (beluga whale), 3604 nucleotides long. Lineage: Eukaryota; Metazoa; Chordata; Mammalia; Artiodactyla; Monodontidae. The record is from RefSeq and is a predicted model, not a curated record.